This 372-nucleotide ribosomal RNA is filed under the name uncultured organism. Its description in RNAcentral is "bacterial SSU rRNA". It matches the Rfam family "Bacterial small subunit ribosomal RNA", at positions 526 to 896 of the family's 1533-position model. The record is from RNAcentral.
CAGAGGUGGCAAGCGUUGUUCGGAAUUACUGGGCGUAAAGGGCGCGUAGGCGGCCAUCUAAGUCAGACGUGAAAUCCCCCGGCUUAACCUGGGAACUGCGUCUGAUACUGGAAGGCUUGAGUAUGGGAGAGGGAUGUAGAAUUCCAGGUGUAGCGGUGAAAUGCGUAGAUAUCUGGAGGAAUACCGGUGGCGAAGGCGGCAUCCUGGACCAUUACUGACGCUGAGGCGCGAAAGCUAGGGGAGCAAACGGGAUUAGAUACCCCGGUAGUCCUAGCCCUAAACGAUGAAUACUUGGUGUGGCGGGUAUCGAUCCCUGCCGUGCCGAAGCUAACGCAUUAAGUAUUCCGCCUGGGGAGUACGGUCGCAAGGCUG